UACACUCCUGCGGGAGGCAGCAGUGGGGAAUAUUGGACAAUGGGCGCAAGCCUGAUCCAGCCAUGCCGCGUGAGUGAUGAAGGCCCUAGGGUUGUAAAGCUCUUUUGUGCGGGAAGAUAAUGACGGUACCGCAAGAAUAAGCCCCGGCUAACUUCGUGCCAGCAGCCGCGGUAAUACGAAGGGGGCUAGCGUUGCUCGGAAUCACUGGGCGUAAAGGGUGCGUAGGCGGGUCUUUAAGUCAGGGGUGAAAUCCUGGAGCUCAACUCCAGAACUGCCUUUGAUACUGAAGAUCUUGAGUUCGGGAGAGGUGAGUGGAACUGCGAGUGUAGAGGUGAAAUUCGUAGAUAUUCGCAAGAACACCAGUGGCGAAGGCGGCUCACUGGCCCGAUACUGACGCUGAGGCACGAAAGCGUGGGGAGCAAACAGGAUUAGAAACCCGUGUAGUCCC
Molecule: ribosomal RNA, 448 nt
Filed under: uncultured organism
Description: partial 16S ribosomal RNA
Rfam family: Bacterial small subunit ribosomal RNA
Source: RNAcentral